UUGCUAUCUGCGAUAUGGAAGAUUCGAACCUGCCGCAGGUUCGGGUCGAACGCAGUGAGACAACGGAGCCGCUUGCGGCGACGGCCCGAAGGGCGAGCGAAGCGAGUCAUCCUGCACGACCCACCA
RNAcentral lists this small RNA (126 nucleotides) under Salmonella enterica subsp. enterica serovar Potsdam. RNAcentral's name for it is "RtT sRNA". It matches the Rfam family "RtT RNA". From Rfam's summary of the family: This family represents a bacterial cis-regulatory element known as RtT RNA. The exact function of RtT is unknown although it is thought that it may be involved in changing the cellular response in relation to amino acid starvation. Lineage: Bacteria; Pseudomonadati; Pseudomonadota; Gammaproteobacteria; Enterobacterales; Enterobacteriaceae. The record is from RNAcentral. RNAcentral also lists the same sequence under 48 other names.